RNAcentral lists this unclassified non-coding RNA (295 nucleotides) under uncultured fungus. RNAcentral's name for it is "partial contains 5.8S rRNA, ITS2 and 28S rRNA". It matches the Rfam family "Eukaryotic large subunit ribosomal RNA", at positions 668 to 961 of the family's 3401-position model. Lineage: Eukaryota; Fungi. The record is from RNAcentral.
AAGGAGUCUAACAUAUGCGCAAGUCUUUGGGUGGCAAGCCCUUGGGCGCAAUGUAAGUGAAAUAGGUUUAGUUUUAUUACAACAACCGGGCCGGGACUAUGGGUUUUAAUCCUUGUUCUGAGUUUACAUUAGAGCGUACAUGUUGGGACCCGAAAGAUGGUGAACUAUGCUUGAGAAGUGCGAAGUCUGGGGAAACUCAGAUGGAGGCUCGCAUCGAUACUGACGUGCAAAUCGUUCGUCACACUUGGGUAUAGGGGCGAAAGACUAAUCGAACCAUCUAGUAGCUGGUUCCCUC